RNAcentral lists this ribosomal RNA (253 nucleotides) under uncultured bacterium. Its description in RNAcentral is "partial 16S ribosomal RNA". It matches the Rfam family "Bacterial small subunit ribosomal RNA", at positions 524 to 776 of the family's 1533-position model. The record is from RNAcentral.
UACGUAGGGGGCUAGCGUUGUCCGGAUUUAUUGGGCGUAAAGAGCGUGUAGGCGGCCCGGUAAGUCCGCUGUGAAAGUCGGGGGCUCAACCCUCGAAUGCCGGUGGAUACUGUCGGGCUAGAGUGCGGAAGAGGCGAGUGGAAUUCCUGGUGUAGCGGUGAAAUGCGCAGAUAUCAGGAGGAACACCAAUGGCGAAGGCAGCUCGCUGGAACGGUACUGACGCUGAGGCGCGAAAGCGUGGGGAGCGAACAGG